CCUACGGGUGGCUGCAGUCGAGAAUCAUUCACAAUGGGGGAAACCCUGAUGGUGCGACGCCGCGUGGGGGAAUGAAGGUCUUCGGAUUGUAAACCUCUGUCAUGUGGGAGCAAAUAAAAAAGAUAGUACCACAAGAGGAAGAGACGGCUAACUCUGUGCCCGGAGCCGCGGUAAUACAGAGGUCUCAAGCGUUGUUCGGAAUCACUGGGCGUAAAGGGUGCGUAGGCUGUUUCGUAAGUCGUGUGUGAAAGGUGCGGGCUCAACCCGCGGACGGCCCAUGAUACUGGGAGACUAGAGUUAUGGAGAGGGAGCCGGAAUUCUCGGUGUAGCAGUGAAAUGCUUAGAUAUCG
RNAcentral lists this ribosomal RNA (350 nucleotides) under uncultured bacterium. RNAcentral describes it as "partial 16S ribosomal RNA". It matches the Rfam family "Bacterial small subunit ribosomal RNA", at positions 338 to 699 of the family's 1533-position model. The record is from RNAcentral.